ACGCUCGACACCUACGGGGGCAGCAGUGGGGAAUAUUGCACAAUGGGGGAAACCCUGAUGCAGCGACGCCGCGUGAGUGAAGAAGUAUUUCGGUAUGUAAAGCUCUAUCAGCAGGGAAGAAGAUGACGGUACCUGAGUAAGAAGCCCCGGCUAACUACGUGCCAGCAGCCGGUAAUCUGAGCGGGCUGGCAAGGC
RNAcentral lists this ribosomal RNA (195 nucleotides) under uncultured bacterium. RNAcentral's name for it is "partial 16S ribosomal RNA". It matches the Rfam family "Bacterial small subunit ribosomal RNA", at positions 328 to 539 of the family's 1533-position model. The record is from RNAcentral.